This 433-nucleotide ribosomal RNA is filed under the name uncultured bacterium. Its description in RNAcentral is "partial 16S ribosomal RNA". It matches the Rfam family "Bacterial small subunit ribosomal RNA", at positions 29 to 507 of the family's 1533-position model. The record is from RNAcentral.
AACGAACGCUGGCGGCAUGCCUAACACAUGCAAGUCGAACGAGACCUUCGGGUCUAGUGGCGCACGGGUGCGUAACGCGUGGGAACCUGCCCUUAGGUUCGGAAUAACUCCCCGAAAGGGGUGCUAAUAACGGAUAAUGUCUUCGGACCAAAGAUUUAUCGCCUUUGGAUGGGCCCGCGUUGGAUUAGCUAGUUGGUAGGGUAAAAGCCUACCAAGGCGACGAUCCAUAGCUGGUCUGAGAGGAUGAUCAGCCACACUGGGACUGAGACACGGCCCAGACUCCUACGCGAGGCAGCAGUGGGGAAUAUUGGACAAUGGGCGAAAGCCUGAUCCAGCAAUGCCGCGUGAGUGAUGAAGGCCUUAGGGUUGUAAAGCUCUUUUACCCGGGAUGAUAAUGACAGUACCGGGAGAAUAAGCUCCGGCUAACUCCGUG